GUUUAUUUUUUAUCUUUUCAUAUGCAUAUUUUUUCUUCCUAUCGUUUUGUAUCAAGGUGAAAAACAAUUUCAUAUAAAACCUUUUCUAGAACCAAACAAUCCUCCUUCUCCAGAAAUGGAACCAUUUAAACAUCAUAGGAUUUUGCUAAUGCAUCAGGCUUUUAGUAAUAAGAGCAGUAAGGAUAUAUAUUUGUAAUAUUCUUGCUCUUUAAAACAACAAUGGUGUGUGCGCAAGGUAUCUCGUCUAAUUGAAAUAUUCCACAAGUGCAUACUUUCCGCUCAAGGGACUACCACCUCAUUUUGACAUGUGGCGUCACUUUGUUGGUUACGGAUGACUAGUAACUGUGACACGUGGCAUGGGUUUGGGCUUCAAGGUGAAAUGGACCUUGGAUUUGAAUUAAAUAGAUAGACUUAAUCAUUUGUAAAGCCCAAAUUAAUUAUUCUUCCUAAAUUAAAAUGUAUUUAUAUCAAA
Solanum pennellii is the source of this 472-nucleotide long non-coding RNA. RefSeq lists it as uncharacterized. Lineage: Eukaryota; Viridiplantae; Streptophyta; Magnoliopsida; Solanales; Solanaceae. The record is from RefSeq and is a predicted model, not a curated record. The transcript is spliced from 2 exons.